GAUGAACGCUGGCGGCGUGCCUAAUACAUGCAAGUCGAGCGAACAGACGAGGAGCUUGCUCCUCUGACGUUAGCGGCGGACGGGUGAGUAACACGUGGAUAACCUACCUAUAAGACUGGGAUAACUUCGGGAAACCGGAGCUAAUACCGGAUAAUAUAUUGAACCGCAUGGUUCAAUAGUGAAAGACGGUUUUGCUGUCACUUAUAGAUGGAUCCGCGCCGCAUUAGCUAGUUGGUAAGGUAACGGCUUACCAAGGCAACGAUGCGUAGCCGACCUGAGAGAGUGAUCGGCCACACUGGAGCGGAGACACGGUCCAGACUCCUACGGGAGGCAGCAGUAGGGAAUCUUCCGCAAUGGUCGAAAGCCUGACGGAGCAACGCCGCGUGAGUUAUGAAGGUCUUCGGAGCGUAAAACUCUGUUAUUAGGGAAGAACAAAUGUGUAAGUAACUAUGCACGUCUUGACGGUACCUAAUCAGAAAGCCACGGCUAACUACGUG
This 497-nucleotide ribosomal RNA is filed under the name uncultured bacterium. Its description in RNAcentral is "partial 16S ribosomal RNA". It matches the Rfam family "Bacterial small subunit ribosomal RNA", at positions 28 to 507 of the family's 1533-position model. The record is from RNAcentral.